Molecule: long non-coding RNA, 860 nt
Filed under: Gopherus agassizii (Agassiz's desert tortoise)
Lineage: Eukaryota; Metazoa; Chordata; Testudines; Testudinidae
Description: lncRNA (ENSGAGG00000013599.1)
Source: RNAcentral
CUUUCUCUAAGUCUAUAAUGUAUCACUAAACUAUUGUUGUUGUAUGUAAAGUAAAUAAGGUUUUAAAAAUGAAGCUUAAUUUAAAAUUAAAUUAAAAUGCAGAGCCCCCCAGAUCGAUGGCCAGGACCUGGGCAAUGUGAGUGCCACUGAAAAUCGGCUCACAUGCUGCCUUGAGCACAUGUGCCAUAGGUUGCCUGUCCCUGAGUUAAAUCGUACUUUCUGAAGCAAAAUAAUUGCCAUUUUUUCUAGUACAUUGAAAUCUGAUUUAAAUAAUUUNACAUGUUCUAUGUAGAAGUUCAGUUGGAGAAAGAUGGAAAGGUGAUAGAUGUAAAAUUGGCUCACCCUGGAGAAGCUCCUGUGGUUUGUGAUGAUCUAGUGCAGUUUCUAAGGAUGAAGAAUUAUGAUGCCUUUGGAAAGAUUCUAGAUGGCCUGUCAAAUCUGUAUCAAAUUCCAGGAAAUAGGUUGUAUCUCUUAAAUAUAAUUAGCUUUUAUUUGUCAAAUAUUUAAUUCUUAAUAAUCUGUAUUCUCUUUCCUAGUGACAUGAAAGCUAAGGUAUAUCUUGCCUUGCAGUCUUUGGAAAAAGAUCUCUAUUCAAUGUCCCUUCUGUACAGAACACAGGAUGUAAACAGAGUUACUGAAGUACUUCAUGGAAAAGCAGGACACCUUGUGCAAAGAACUGGAGGCUCCCAAGUAUGUGGAACCAAAGUAUUUGUAACUGUUGCAAGUUCAAACACAACACACAAACUUCCCAUUUCUCCGUUAAUUGUGGAUUCUCAGGCAGGAGAUGGGUGAGAUUCAAAGGCACUAUUGACAUUUCUGAACAUAUAAAUGGACUUUCAAAUCAUUGGUAUUAAACCCUG